Molecule: ribosomal RNA, 690 nt
Filed under: uncultured eukaryote
Lineage: Eukaryota
Description: SSU rRNA
Rfam family: Eukaryotic small subunit ribosomal RNA
Source: RNAcentral
GAAACUGCGAAUGGCUCAUUUAAACAGUUAUAGUUUAUUUGAUAAUCGAAUUUACAUGGAUAACCGUGGUAAUUCUAGAGCUAAUACAUGCUGGUUAGCCUGACUUUUGCGGAAGGGCUGUAUUUAUUAGAUAACAAACCAAUAUUCCUUGUGUCUAUUGUGAUGACUCAUAAUAACUGAUCGAAUCGCAUGGGCUUUGCCCGCGAUACAUCAUUCAAGUUUCUGCCCCAUCAGCUUUCGAUGGUAGUGUAUUGGACUACCAUGGCGUUCACGGGUAACGGAGGAUUAGGGUUCGAUUCCGGAGAGGGAGCCUGAGAAACGGCUACCACAUCUAAGGAAGGCAGCAGGCGCGUAAAUUACCCAAUCCUGACUCAGGGAGGUAGUGACAAGAAAUAACGGACCGAAGCCUAUGUAUCGGGAUUGCAAUGAGUAGAAUUUAAACCCCUUUACGAGGAUCAAUUGGAGGGCAAGUCUGGUGCCAGCAGCCGCGGUAAUUCCAGCUCCAAUAGCGUAUAUGAAAGUUGUUGCAGUUAANAAGCUCGUAGUUGGAUUUCUGGGAAGGGUGCCAAUGUCCGCUCGUUGCGUGUGCAGCGGCGCCCUUACAUCCUUUCUGUAACGUAUCUGAUAUUCAUUUAUUGGUCUCGGGCUCAAAUAUUUACCUUGAAAAAAUAAAAUUGUCCCAGGCAGCUU